This 31-nucleotide non-coding RNA is filed under the name Mus musculus (house mouse). Lineage: Eukaryota; Metazoa; Chordata; Mammalia; Rodentia; Muridae. The record is from RNAcentral.
UCCACACAUUGAGAAACACCCAAGAGUUACU